UGACCUCGGAUCAGGUAGGACUACCCGCUGAACUUAAGCAUAUCAUAA
Molecule: ribosomal RNA, 48 nt
Filed under: Ceratocystiopsis minuta
Lineage: Eukaryota; Fungi; Ascomycota; Sordariomycetes; Ophiostomatales; Ophiostomataceae
Also listed under: 1 other name
Description: partial 28S large subunit ribosomal RNA
Source: RNAcentral